Molecule: ribosomal RNA, 472 nt
Filed under: uncultured bacterium
Lineage: Bacteria
Description: partial 16S ribosomal RNA
Rfam family: Bacterial small subunit ribosomal RNA
Source: RNAcentral
GACGAACGCUGGCGGCGUGCUUAACACAUGCAAGUCGAACGCUGAAGCUUGGUGCUUGCACUGGGUGGAUGAGUGGCGAACGGGUGAGUAAUACGUGAGUAACCUGCCCUUGACUCUGGGAUAAGCCUGGGAAACUGGGUCUAAUACUGGAUACGACAUGCCACUGCAUGGUGGUGUGUGGAAAGGGUUUUACUGGUUUUGGAUGGGCUCACGGCCUAUCAGCUUGUUGGUGGGGUAAUGGCCUACCAAGGCGACGACGGGUAGCCGGCCUGAGAGGGUGGCCGGCCACACUGGGACUGAGACACGGCCCAGACUCCUACGGGAGGCAGCAGUGGGGAAUAUUGCACAAUGGGCGGAAGCCUGAUGCAGCGACGCCGCGUGAGGGAUGACGGCCUUCGGGUUGUAAACCUCUUUCAGCACGGAAGAAGCGAGAGUGACGGUACGUGCAGAAGAAGCGCCGGCUAACUACGUG